AAAGGGUGCGUAGGUGGCUGCUUAAGUCUGGUUUGAAAGCAGGCGGCUUAACCGUCUGAUGUGGCUGGAAACUGGGGAGCUUGAAUGCGGGAGCGGCUGCCGGAACGGGUCAUGUAGCGGUGAAAUGCAUAGAUAUGACCCAGAACACCGAUUGCGAAGGCAGGCAGCCAGGCCGUGAUUGACACUGAGGCACGAGAGCAUGGGGAGCCAACAGGAUUAGAUACCCUAGU
Molecule: ribosomal RNA, 230 nt
Filed under: uncultured bacterium
Lineage: Bacteria
Description: partial 16S ribosomal RNA
Rfam family: Bacterial small subunit ribosomal RNA
Source: RNAcentral